AUGUAUAUGUGUAGCUUGAUACUUGGUAAAUCUUGGAUAAAAAAGAGGGAGCUACAGAUGGAUAAAUCUGGCUAUUUUUCUUGGAGGAAAUUUCAGAUUUUUCGUAAUGGUCGAUGGAUUUAUUUUAAAGCAUACUCUUCGGAACAAUAUUUGGAAGAUCGUAAGAGAAGAGACCCAGCAUAUGCUGCAAUUCAUGCAAAGAAAGAAGUAGAGCAGAUCUUGCUAGAAAAGAAAAAGGCGGAGGAUAAUCUUGUUGGAACUAAAAAUAUUUCUUCACAUGAGAAGAACAAAGAGAAACCAGCAGUACCAACGAGUGGGCUGAAUAUGCAACUUAAGAGGGUACAUGAUGGAGAUGAAUUGGCAGUAGACAGAGGUCAGCGCAUGAGUUUAUUUCAAACUCAGUGUGACAUUAAGGGUGUGGCGUGCAAGUUAAUUAUUGAUGGAGGUAGUUGCACUAAUGGCAUUAACAACACGUUGGUGGAGAAGCUUGGUUUGUCCGCAUGGCGAUAUGAUAAACCAUAUCAUUUAGAGUGGUUGAACAAUUGUGGGAAGCUCAAAGUUACACAUAAAGUACGUGUACCAUUUUCAGUUGGACAGUAUGUCGAUGAGGUGGAAUGUGAUGUUUUGCCGUUGGAAGUUUGCGGUUUUCUACUAGGCCGACCUUGGCAGUAUGACCGUAGUGUGCAGCAUGCUGGAAGGACCAACACAUACACUUUUAUUCAUAAUGGCGCACAAAGGACACUUAAAUCGAUGAAUGAAAAAUUAAUCCUCUCAGAUGUGGUAUUGACAAUGCGCAAGGAGAGGGCUCCCAAGAAAAACAUGAAACCGAAGACGGUUUCUCUUCAAGUGGAGGGGUGUGAUAUUCUUUUAGUAAAGAAAAAGGCCCCUAAAGCUAUCAUGAAGCCGAGGACGGCUUUGUUUCAAGAGGGAGAGGAUGAUGUGGCCAUUAGUGGCAAAGCUAUUGUUUCACGUACAGAAAUAUUUCAAGCUAUUUCAUAUGCUACACAAAAGGAAAGAGACUUGGACCAUCGUGCUUCAAUGGGAUAA
Molecule: ribosomal RNA, 1047 nt
Filed under: Triticum aestivum (bread wheat)
Lineage: Eukaryota; Viridiplantae; Streptophyta; Magnoliopsida; Poales; Poaceae
Description: partial small subunit ribosomal RNA
Source: RNAcentral